CGUAGGGUGCGAGCGUUAAUCGGAAUUACUGGGCGUAAAAGGGUGCGCAGGCGGCUUGGAAAGAACGGUGUGAAAUCCCGGGGCUCAACCUCGGAACUGCACUAUUAACUGCCAAGCUAGAGUAUGUCAGAGGGGGUGAAUUCCGCGUGUAGCAGUGAAAUGCGUAGAUAUGCGGAGGAACACCGAUGGCGAAGGCAGCCCCCUGGGAUGGUACUGACGCUCAGGCACGAAAGCGUGGGUAGCGGAACAGGAUU
This 254-nucleotide ribosomal RNA is filed under the name uncultured bacterium. RNAcentral describes it as "partial 16S ribosomal RNA". It matches the Rfam family "Bacterial small subunit ribosomal RNA", at positions 526 to 779 of the family's 1533-position model. The record is from RNAcentral.